GGAUGUGAGGACUAUCUGGCUGCGACAUCUGUCACACCAUUGAUCGCUAGGGUUGAUUCCACUGAUCUGGCUGACUAGGCGGGUGUCCCCUUCCUCUCUCACUGCUCCAUGUAUGUCCCUCCUGAAGCUGUGUGCUCAAUUGAAGAGGACGACCUUCUCCGAAUAGAGGAGGACCGGUGGUAUCAGGUCAAGGGUAUAGGAGUAACUGCAGUCCCCUGCUAGAACCUCCAAACAAGCUCUCAAUACCAGGUUGUCAUACCUGAGACAGACAAGAUCAGUGCUCCACUGCAUCCCCUCAUAUCUUUACUGA
Unclassified non-coding RNA from Mesocricetus auratus (golden hamster), 310 nucleotides. Its record names the gene 7SK. It matches the Rfam family "7SK RNA". Rfam says of the family: 7SK was discovered as an abundant small nuclear RNA in the mid-70s but a possible function has only recently been suggested. Two independent studies have found that 7SK RNA binds the CDK9/cyclin T complex (known as elongation factor P-TEFb). NCBI's taxonomy places the organism in Eukaryota, Metazoa, Chordata, Mammalia, Rodentia, Cricetidae. The record is from Ensembl.